RNA transcript from Zea mays, 2375 nucleotides. It is a transcript of the gene named putative Solute carrier family 35 member C2, with no coding region annotated. The record is from RefSeq and is marked provisional. NCBI's taxonomy places the organism in Eukaryota, Viridiplantae, Streptophyta, Magnoliopsida, Poales, Poaceae. The transcript is spliced from 11 exons.
CCAAAUUUCAGGGCCUGAUGUGCAUUUGCUGUAGCCUGAGCAGGUGCGGUGCCUACCUGCAGUCCUCCGUCCUGGGCGGCCACGCACAAGUGCAGCACUCCCAAGUCCCAAGUUCCCAACCACAGCCCACCUGCAGUCCUUUGUUUCUACUUCUGGCAGAAAGAAGGUGUUGGUCAGAGCUUACAUAUCGCCGCACAAAAAAAGCAUGUGUUGUGUUGGGAGUGAGAUCACCAUGGCGGCGUGCAGCCAGUUUUAUAUUGUACUACCCGUGUGUUAGGUACAACAGCCACAGGUGUCUUCUUCGGCUGCCAGCGUGCGCCCCACAAACACAUGAGGAGGAGGGCCGUCGGGGCGCGUCCAUCCGGUCCGGACACCCGAGUACCCGACCUGCUUGCUCAUCGCGCGCACCCGCCAAAGCAACCAACCGCCCCAUCGUCCCCGUCCUGUUCCGGCAGGCAGCCGCUCCCGCUCCCGCUCCCCCACCCCACUCCCCCUCGCGCGGCGCGUUCUCAGAUCCCCCGCCCGGUUGGCACCGGCACCCCGGUCCGAAAUGCGAGGAGCCUUGUAGCGCCUCGGAGCACGGACGGAAUCGCGCCGCAUGCAUCCCAAGCCCGAGGGCGGCGGCGACGACGACGGGGCCGCCGCGGAGGUGGGCUCCCCGCGGUCCGGCUACUUCCGGCAGCGGAGCAUGCACGCCGCCGCCGCCGCCGCGGAUCCGGAGGCGGCGCGCCGGCCGUUCCACGUCGAGAACCCGCCUUGCUCCGCCGGCGGGGGGCUGCGGCCCAGCGAGUCCGUCACCAAGCUGGAGUCGCUGGAGCGUGCCGCGCUGGCGCCCGCCGUGGUGCUCAGGACCGGGUUCUACAUCCUGGUGUGGUACGCGUUCAGCACCUGCCUCACGCUAUAUAACAAGACGCUGCUGGGGGAUAAGCUCGGCAAGUUCCCGGCGCCGCUGCUGAUGAACACCGUGCACUUCGCGCUGCAGGCGGGGCUCUCCAAGCUCAUCAUCUGGUUCCAGCCCAAGGGGCCCGAGGCCGCCGUCGACAUGGGGUGGAAGGACUACUUCAUGAGAGUCGUGCCAACUGCUCUCGGGACGGCCUUGGACAUAAACCUGAGCAACGCGUCUCUGGUGUUCAUCUCGGUGACGUUUGCUACUAUGUGUAAAUCAGCCUCCCCGAUAUUCUUGUUGCUCUUUGCUUUUGCAUUUAGGUUGGAGAAUCCUAGCAUCAAGCUUCUAGGAAUUAUAGUUGUUAUUUCUACUGGAGUUCUGUUGACAGUUUCCAAGGAGACGGAGUUUGACUUCUGGGGCUUCAUUUUUGUGACGCUUGCUGCUGUUAUGUCAGGAUUCCGGUGGUCCAUGACUCAGAUUCUGUUGCAGAAAGACAAUUACGGCCUGAAGAAUCCGAUUACCUUGAUGAGCCAUGUUACACCAGUGAUGGCCAUCGCCACUAUGAUACUAUCUCUAUUACUGGAUCCUUGGAGUGAAUUUCAAAAGAAUUCAUAUUUUGAUAGCCCUUGGCAUGUCAUGCGCAGUUGCUUACUUAUGCUUAUCGGAGGAUCCUUAGCUUUUUUCAUGGUGUUAACAGAGUAUAUACUUAUUUCAGCAACAAGUGCCAUAACCGUGACGAUAGCUGGGGUAGUAAAAGAAGCUGUAACCAUUUUGGUAUGAGAGAUUCAAAAGGGGUCAGAUAAAUGAGGAUGACGUCAGCUCUCCAUUUACUGGUGACGUCAAGUACAUUAUUAUAGACGACUUGGAAUAUCAGAAUGAAUUUGAGGAAGAUACAUAAUUCUGUAAUACAGUGAAUUCUAACUGCCACUGGCUUGUUCAUGCCUGAACCUAUUGAAAUAGUAGUUACUUAUCGAGGUUUUCUCCGGAAAACAUGCACGAAGAACACAGCUAAGGCUAGGUGUGAUUAUACUAUGCACACCAAAAUCUGAUGUGAGCUAUGUUUGUCACGAUGGAUGUUCAAUUCUCGUCUUGGUUGAACAGCCAGGCUGACUACACUGUCAAGCAAAGAGCUAACUCCAUCGGAUCAGAAUUCCCAUUUUGAGAAGACUAGCAGUGGGUUGCAUAUUGAUAUACAUGCUUAUAGCGGGAACUGCUGAGAAUGCUCCGGCAUCUGUAUAUUUGUUGUUCUCUUCGCGUUAGUGCGCUGGGCGCAUAUUCAUUCUUGAACCUCCACAUUUUUAGUGACGAGGUGUAUUCAUUCUCUAUAUAGGUCUGUUUUGUAAAUGUGACCAGAGGAUACCAUACACGUGCUGUUUUCCCUUGAAACCUAGGGAGCGGCAUUUGAUUUUUUCUGUAGACUGUUUCGGGGUACCGAAUAUGUUGUGGAUAUUUGAUUGAAGAAUUAAGAACAGCAGGGUAGAUUGGCUAA